This 81-nucleotide transfer RNA is filed under the name Planctomycetota bacterium. Its description in RNAcentral is "tRNA-Ala". Lineage: Bacteria; Pseudomonadati; Planctomycetota. The record is from RNAcentral.
GGUUCGCCUGGGGCGAGGAGUCACGCCGCCUCGCAUGCCGCGGACGGUAACAAUCCGCGCGUUCUGUUCCGCGCGUUCCUC